Molecule: ribosomal RNA, 1501 nt
Filed under: metagenome
Description: bacterial SSU rRNA
Rfam family: Bacterial small subunit ribosomal RNA
Source: RNAcentral
GCUCAGGAUGAACGCUAGCGGUGCGCCUAACACAUGUAAGUCGUGCGAUCGAGCCGAACUGAGUCCCUUCGGGGAUGAUGAUUGGUGACGGAGCGGCGGACGGGUGAGUAACGCGUGGCUAACCUACCCUCUUGACGGGGACAACCACCCGAAAGGGCGGCUAAUACCCGAUAUUGUCUGGAACCGAUGGGUUCCUUUCCAAAGGCGGUCAUGCCGCCGCAAGGGGAUGGGGCUGCGUCCUAUUAGCUAGUUGGUGAGGUAACGGCCCACCAAGGCUUCGAUGGGUAGCUGGUCUGAGAGGACGACCAGCCACAUUGGGACUGAGAUACGGCCCAGACUCCUACGGGAGGCAGCAGUGGGGAAUCUUGGCCAAUGGACGAAAGUCUGAGCCAGCGACACCGCGUGGGGGAUGAAGGCCUUCGGGUUGUAAACCUCUUUUCUGGGGAAAGAAUAAGGACGGGAGGAAAUGCCCGCCCGAUGACGGUACUCCAGGAAUAAGCAUCGGCUAACUCUGUGCCAGCAGCCGCGGUAAGACAGAGGAUGCAAGCGUUAUCCGGAAUUACUGGGCGUAAAGGGCGUCUAGGCGGUUCGGUAAGUCGUUUGUGAAAUCCCUCGGCUCAACCGAGGAAGGUCUUGCGAUACUGCCGGGCUUGGGUGCAGGAGAGGAGGGUGGAACUCACAGAGUAGCGGUGGAAUGCGUAGAUACUGUGAGGUACCCCGAUGGCGAAGGCAACCCUCUGGCCUGCUACCGACGCUGAAGCGCGAAAGCGUGGGGAGCAAAGGGGAUUAGAUACCCCCGUAGUCCCCCUAAACAAUGUUCACUUGGUGUCGGCCGCUCAUACUGGUCGGUGCCGAAGCUAACGCGUUAAGUGAACCGCCUGAGGAGUACGGCCGCAAGGCUAAAACUCAAGAGAAUUGACGGGUCCCUGCACAAGCGGUGGAGCACGUGGUUUAAUUCGAUAUAAACGAAAAACCUCACCCAGGCUUGACAUACUAGUGGUAGGAACCUGAAAGGGGGACGACUCUGCCUUCGGGUAGAGAGCUAGUACAGGUGAUGCAUGGCUGUCGUCAGCUCGUGUCGUGGGAUGUUGGGUUCAGUCCCGAAACGAGCGCAACCCUUGUCGUUAGUUGCCAGCGGGUAAUGCCGGGGACUCUAACGAGACUGCUGGUGAAUAGCCGGAGGAAGGCGGGGAUGACGUCAAGUCAUCAUGUCCCUUAUGCCUGGGGCGACACACAUGCUACAAUGGGGGGUACAGAGGGUCGCAAUCCCGUAAGGGGGAGCCAAUCCAUAAAAACCCCUCCCAGUUCGGAUUGAGGUCUGCAACUCGACCUCAUGAAGUCGGAAUCGCUAGUAAUCGCGGGUCAGCCAUACCGCGGUGAAUAUGUACUCAGGGAUUGUACACACCGCCCGUCACACCAACCGAGUGGGGGGUACCUGAAGUCGCUCUUCUGAGGGCGCCUAGGGUAACUUCCGCAAGAGGGGUGAAGUCGUAACAAGGUA